This 253-nucleotide ribosomal RNA is filed under the name uncultured bacterium. RNAcentral describes it as "partial 16S ribosomal RNA". It matches the Rfam family "Bacterial small subunit ribosomal RNA", at positions 524 to 776 of the family's 1533-position model. The record is from RNAcentral.
UACAGAGGGGGCAAGCGUUAUCCGGAUUUAUUGGGUUUAAAGGGUGCGUAGGCGGCUUAUUAAGUCAGGGGUGAAAGACGGUGGCUCAACCAUCGCAGUGCCCUUGAUACUGAUGAGCUUGAAUACACUUGAGGUAGGCGGAAUGUGACAAGUAGCGGUGAAAUGCAUAGAUAUGUCACAGAACACCAAUUGCGAAGGCAGCUUACUAAGGUGCAAUUGACGCUGAGGCACGAAAGCGUGGGGAUCAAACAGG